AGAUUGGCAGAAUCACAUAUAAAUUACAUUCUAGGCAUUACUCAGCAAGUCUGUGGUACCAAAGUCUGGAAAAAAGAAAAAAAAGAAAGCAGAAAAGGCAGCAGCUGAAACGGUGGAAAAAGAAGAUACAAAUAGUGCCAUCAAAGGCGAGAAUGUUUGAAGGGCAACAAUGGCAAUUUUCAACAAAACUCAUUGCACCAUCCAAGCAAACAAGGACAUCAAGGCCACAGUGAUUGGUCAUCUCAUAACAAGGACAUCAAGGCCACAGAGAUUGGUCAUCUCAUCCACAGUACCUGAUCUUGGCCAACGACAUGUAAAAGAAAAUUCUGUUCUGAAAAUUUCUAUUUUUACUGCCAUUGUCUUUUCAGUUUUAAUUUGGUCCCUUUUUCUAAUCUUACUAUACUUAAUAUUUGUUUUUCUUUUUAUCUUUUAUUUGAUGAGAUACUUAGGUAUAGGAAAAUUGCAUCAGAAACUUUUUUAUUUUUGUUUCGGGGAGAGAAAGUAAACAGGUUUCAUAUUCUAUUUAAAACUUGCUGUAUUCUUGUUUAGUUGUAUUAAUUUGAAACUUAAGUUUUAAAGGUACAACUGUAGGUGCUGGUUAAUUUUUUUAGCAAAUUAUUUUACACUACACAGUGCUGGAUUGGCAGUUGUGUAAUUUUAAAAGUUUUCAGAUACAUUUUUAAACCUUUACGCAUGGUUAUAUGCUUCCUGUUACUAAUUGGACUGCUUAAGGACCAUAGAAUUAAUACUACCAGACAAUUGCAGCUAUACACCAUUCUUUGAUAUCUUGUAUGUGAUGUCAUUGGCUGAGGCUAUGGGUCCAAGGUUGUCUUCAGUCAAUAAAAUGCCCUUUUGAAAGAAAUAAA
Long non-coding RNA from Limulus polyphemus (Atlantic horseshoe crab), 866 nucleotides. RefSeq lists it as uncharacterized. The transcript is spliced from 2 exons. The record is from RefSeq and is a predicted model, not a curated record. Lineage: Eukaryota; Metazoa; Arthropoda; Merostomata; Xiphosura; Limulidae.